Molecule: ribosomal RNA, 333 nt
Filed under: uncultured soil bacterium
Lineage: Bacteria
Description: bacterial SSU rRNA
Rfam family: Bacterial small subunit ribosomal RNA
Source: RNAcentral
AGAAUGAACGCUGGCGGCAUGCCUAACACAUGCAAGUCGAACGAGACCUUCGGGUCUAGUGGCGCACGGGUGCGUAACGCGUGGGAAUCUGCCCCUUGGUUCGGAAUAACAGCGAGAAAUUGCUGCUAAUACCGGAUAAUGACGUAAGUCCAAAGAUUUAUCGCCUAGGGAUGAGCCCGCGUAGGAUUAGCUAGUUGGUGUGGUAAAGGCGCACCAAGGCGACGAUCCUUAGCUGGUCUGAGAGGAUGAUCAGCCACACUGGGACUGAGACACGGCCCAGACUCCGUACGGGAGGCAGCAGGUGGGGAAUAGUUGGAACAAGUGGGACGAAAG